Long non-coding RNA from Juglans microcarpa x Juglans regia, 335 nucleotides. RefSeq lists it as uncharacterized. The transcript has 3 exons. The record is from RefSeq and is a predicted model, not a curated record. Lineage: Eukaryota; Viridiplantae; Streptophyta; Magnoliopsida; Fagales; Juglandaceae.
GGGAUGGGACUCCCGGGAUUGAGGAUUUUGUGAUUGAUCUCUUGUACUCGACAUUUGUUGAUAGUAAAUUCGUUGAGACCGACCAUGCCAGUAGACGUAGGCUCACAUUGAGCCAAAGCACUUAAAUCUUGGUGCUCUGUGUAUGAUUGUUGAUUUUUUCUUUUUGCUUGCUUCCACUAUUUCACUUUAACUUUGCAUUUGAUAACCGGUUUAUUCCAACAAAUUGGUAUCAGAGAGCCAGACUCUGUGCGAGAUCUUGAGGGAUGGCUACGGCAAAGUUUGAAGUGGAGAAAUUCGACGGUCAGAACAAUUUCAAUUUAUGGCACAUCAAGAUG